UACGAAGGGUGCAAGCGUUACUCGGAAUUACUGGGCGUAAAGCGUGCGUAGGUGGUUUUUUAAGUCCGUUGUGAAAGCCCUGGGCUCAACCUGGGAAUGGCAGUGGAUACUGGAAAGCUAGAGUGCGGUAGAGGGUAGUGGAAUUCCCGGUGUAGCAGUGAAAUGCGUAGAGAUCGGGAGGGACACCAGAGGCGAAGGCGGCGACCUGGACAGAUACUGACACUCAACUGCGAAAGCGUGGGGAGCAAACAGG
Molecule: ribosomal RNA, 253 nt
Filed under: uncultured bacterium
Lineage: Bacteria
Description: partial 16S ribosomal RNA
Rfam family: Bacterial small subunit ribosomal RNA
Source: RNAcentral